GACGAACGCUGGCGGCGUGCUUAACACAUGCAAGUCGAACGGAAGGGCCCUGCUUUUGUGGGGUGCUCGAGUGGCGAACGGGUGAGUAACACGUGAGUAACCUGCCCUUGACUUUGGGAUAACUUCAGGAAACUGGGGCUAAUACCGGAUAGGAGCUCCUGCUGCAUGGUGGGGGGUGGAAAGUUUCGGCGGUUGGGGAUGGACUCGCGGCUUAUCAGCUUGUUGGUGGGGUAGUGGCUUACCAAGGCUUUGACGGGUAGCCGGCCUGGGAGGGUGACCGGCCACAUUGGGACUGAGGUACGGCCCAGACUCCUACGGGAGGCAGCAGUGGGGAAUAUUGCACAAUGGGCGGAAGCCUGAUGCAGCAACGCCGCGUGCGGGAUGACGGCCUUCGGGUUGUAAACCGCUUUCGCCUGUGACGAAGCGUGAGUGACGGUAAUGGGUAAAGAAGCACCGGCUAACUACGUG
RNAcentral lists this ribosomal RNA (468 nucleotides) under uncultured bacterium. RNAcentral describes it as "partial 16S ribosomal RNA". It matches the Rfam family "Bacterial small subunit ribosomal RNA", at positions 28 to 507 of the family's 1533-position model. The record is from RNAcentral.